Molecule: small RNA, 140 nt
Rfam family: Alphaproteobacterial sRNA BjrC1505
Source: Rfam
CCGCGGCAUUAACCGGCCCUUAACGAUUCCAAAGUAUGAAUCUGAUCGUCCAGUUUGUCUGGAUGUCGAGUGGCUCCUGCCCACUCUGUUUGACGCCUCCCUGUUGACCUUCGAGCCGCCUUCGGGGCGGCUCUUUUUUG